AUGGCCGUGGCGGGAGCAGCCUGCGCCUCCCGGCCGCCGCGCCCGCCGCGCCGGCGAGGGCCCGCGCCGCCACGCGCCGCGGCGGGGGCGGUGGAGUUACGGGUCUGCACGAACCGCACGUGCGCGCGGCAGGGCGGGCGCGAAGUGCUCCUGGCGCUCGAGGGGCUCUCGCCGCCCCCGCCGCGCGUCGACUUGGCAUCCUGCGGGUGCCUGGGCCGCUGCGGCGCCUCCAUCCCGGGCCGCGGUAACGCCGUGUUCGGCCACGUGGGCAUGGCGGCCCGCGCUGCGCGGCUCCUCGAGCACCUCCUCGGCGCUGCCGAGUUCGACGCUGCAGCGGGGCUCGCCGCGUUGGCCCUACGGGAGAAGGCCGAGGCCGCGAUCGCCGACGGGAAAGCCGCCGAGGCGGAGGCCCUCUUCACCGAGAGCAUCGCAAUGGAUGCUCCCGGUGGACUGCAUCUGGCCUAUGGAGGCAGGUGUAAGGCGAGAAUAGGGUUGGGGGUACCAGGCGCGCUCACGGAUGCCGAGGAGGCGAUAAGGAUAGCUCCCAGUUUUCCUCAGUCUCACUUGUUGCGAGGGGACGCACUAUUCACACUGGGAGAGUACCACUCCGCAAAGGAUGCUUUUGCAGGCGCCUUGGAUCUUGACCCAUCUAUUCGUCGGUCCAAGUCUUUCAAGGCCCGCUUGGAAAAGCUACGGGAGAAGCUUGUAAGUGUCAGCAGUUCAUCAUAG
RNAcentral lists this ribosomal RNA (729 nucleotides) under Triticum aestivum (bread wheat). Its description in RNAcentral is "partial small subunit ribosomal RNA". Lineage: Eukaryota; Viridiplantae; Streptophyta; Magnoliopsida; Poales; Poaceae. The record is from RNAcentral.